This is a non-coding RNA of Manis javanica (Malayan pangolin), 4130 nucleotides long. NCBI's taxonomy places the organism in Eukaryota, Metazoa, Chordata, Mammalia, Pholidota, Manidae. The record is from RefSeq and is a predicted model, not a curated record.
CCAAUCACUACAACUGCUGUGACUGCACAGUCAGUCAGCAGCUGCCAACGCCCAACUACAAGUGCUUUCGACAGGGACUCUGAAGCCGGGCGUUCAGGGACUCUCGAAGGUGCCAGCGUUACCUCAGCCUCUCCUAGGAGCGCGCGCCCUGACACUCCCCUCUGUGCGGAUUCAAGCCAGUCCGUGCCGCUCACAUGACUUCGUCCAAGCAAGUUUCUUGUCACCUCAGACAGAGAACUGAACCCAUGGGCUUUUUACUUAGGUGACCCCAGAUGAAAAUUUCCAUCCCUUUUCUAGGGAACCACGAAGUUACGACAACGGAGUGAGGAAGAAGGCGGGGGUCUUGCUCAAACCCAAACCGACCCUUCUUUCUGUCUCUGAUUCACUCCCGGGCUCGCUGGUUGGCUUCGGCGCGCCUGGAGGACCCCGUCCUCCGGAGAGUCCUGGCUAUGGCAAAAGCAGAAAAUAGAGGCUCUAGGCGGGGGGCCUUCUCGGCUUCUUUGCUGUUGCCGCCGUCGCCGUCGCUGCCGCCGUCGUUGCUGGGGGUCAGGGAGAGCCGGAGCUGUCGUAGACCCUGAGGAGUCUGUCUGUGUUGCUGAUUUUGCUUGAGGAGACUUCCUUCCUACGUCACACCCUGACUCCGGUGGUGUCGAGGGGGAGUCCCUGCGGACACCUGGGCACGCAGUGGCGAUGCCUCUCUUUGCCACCAAUCCCUUCGAUCAGGAUGUUGAGAAAGCAACCAGUGAGAUGAAUACUGCUGAGGACUGGGGCCUCAUUUUGGAUAUUUGUGAUAAAGUUGGUCAGUCUCGUACUGGGUAAGGAUUUUUUUUCAUUCUUUUAUUAACAUGAGUAAAGCAAGAAUUACAAGGUAAAGCAUAUUACAGUCACAAUUUAGUUUAGAAAGAGAAUGAUUUUGCUAGCAAUAUUUGAAGAAUCAUCCCAUUUAGGUUACUCCUUAUAAUCAGUUAGGGCAACAUGACUGAUCACAAUGUUGGUUAUCAGUCACACUUGCCCAUAUUUGUUUCCUGAAAUCUAGUCUUUUUCCACUGAUUUUUAAAGUCAUCAGGGGAUUCUCAUUUACCAAGCUUCGUGGUUAUUUCUUAGUUCUUUUCUUCAUUACAUCUGCAAAAUUCCAUCCAACUAACUGGUGACUAUUAAAAGAGAUAGUUUUAGGGAAAUAGAAUCUGAAACUUUUUGGCAUACAGACUUUUUGGUAAUGCAGUGCUUUCUAAACAGUGCUGUGAAUGGAUUAAUCGGUAUCCAGAUUAAUGGUUUCCUUAAUUCCUGGGCUAAUAAUAUCCAGUUAUUCACAGCUUCAUUUACCCCUUUGUGCCACACAGAUACGUCAUAUUUCUGUAUUUUCAUGUGAAGAAUGUUAGGGAACACUGCUGUAUUAUACUUGAUUCUUCUGAUGAUAAUCUUAGACCUUGGACAGUUCUUCUUUGGCUUUUCUUUCUUCCCUUCUAAAUACAGAUUAUUCCUUAAACUUUCUUUGAUCCUAUUUUUCUGUAAUACUUUUUACUAUUCUAAUACUUUUUAUUUUGAAAUCUCACUUUGAGGUAUCUUUAUGUGGAGACAUCUGUAUUUUCAGCUGUGUUUCUUCUUACCCAAGCACUAGUCCCGUGACAGAGCAUUAUUUUUGGAUAUUGUACUAAAGAGCCUAAUCAUACCCUCUAGAAACCUGAAAUUUCUUUUUGCUUUAAACUUACUUUUUCUCCUUUGUUUUUUGUUAACGACAAGAUUAUUUUUUCAUUUGCACUUAAAAUCUCAGAGUCACCUCCACAUUUAUUUUAUUGCUAAAUUCUAUCAAUCUGCCUCCUUAACAUCUCUCAAGUGGUGGUACUAUGAAGUCUUCUUAGUUAAGUCCUUGAACAUGGCCAAACCAGGUGGUGGCAGUUUGUCUUCAGAGCCUUUUUACCCCUUCAUUUUAGCCCUUUGUUGGCCCCCAACUUGCUCCUCCUGUCAGGUUCCCAGAAAUGUGGCCUCCCAUUAUGGCAUCAUCUAUCCCCUUUGUUAUCUUUACGUUUUCGUAUAUUAAGUCUUGUUAUUUCUGACUCUGUUAGCUCCUCGAUUUAAUUGAAAUUUGAGUAACUACUGUGUGCUACGUAUCUCUUCCUUUUUCUCUAUUUCUGUUGGCCCCACUUGAGACAUAGCUUACUAUGCGUAGACAAGUGAUUUAACUGUCUGACAUUUUUUCCCAUUUCUAUCUCUUUUUCUGACCAGUUGCCAUACAACAACUCUGAUUAUAUUACUCCCCUACCUUCCAUACUGAGUUGAAUCUAACCUCCUAGGCCUCUGAACCAUUUAUUUUCCACUUCUCUUGCACAUACCAUGUUUUUCAACUCAAGCUUUCUGUUCCUCCAGCAUGGAAUAUAGUUCUCUUUCUAUCUCUGUGUCUCAUACCCUUCUAGGCCCAUUUCUUCCACAGUCUUUCCUUAUCCUCUUUAGUGAAAAUCAUACCAUGGUCCUCUGAAUCAUCAAAGCACUCUAUCAAAAUCAUUCUUAUUUGUGUUUUGUCUUAUAUUAGAGUAAUUCAUGUCUAUCUAGUUGAUUUAGAAUUUGUAGAAUGAAAGGUCCAUGAAAUGUUGUACAUGGAAAAGAAGCAAAUAGCUUAGUGGUUGAGAGCAUGGACUUUGGAAUGAGACUAUGUAUAAAGUGUUUAUCAUAGUGCCUGGCACAUGGUUAAAUGGGUACAACUUGCGUCUUUUUGCUUAAAGUCCUAUUUUGUGACGGUUUGUCUGUUGAGGACUAGUUAUCAACCCAGCUCAAACUCUCUGUAUUUUGGAGAUAAAAGUUUAUCUAACAUUCCAUUUGCAAAGUCCUUCUUCUCUCUCCACUCAAUUGGUUAUCUUUUUAUCUUUACUUUGGUAUUCUUCAUUUUGUAGACACUUUUUAUAAUAAUUUGGUUAGGUGCUUGAAAUGAAGACAAACUGCCUUUCAUUACUAGAAAUAUUUUAUAUUUUCCUGUUAAAAACUAAACUUGUGACCCAUCUGAAAUUAUGUAUGAUGUAUAUAUAAUAAACAGAUCUAUUUUUCUUCAUGUUAACAUUGUUACACUAGAAACAUGUAUUUGUUCUUCCUGUUUUUUCUUGUGAUGAGAACUUUAAAAUUACUCUCUUAGCAACUUUCAAAUAUAAAGUAUUGUAACUAUACCAUUCAUGCUGUAUAUUACAACCUCAGAGCUUACUUAUAACUGGAAGUUUGUACAUUUUGACCACCUUCACCCAUAUUGACCACCCCCACACCCAGCUCUGGCAACCAUCAAUCUGCUCUCUAGCUGUAAAAAACUUUUCCAUUUAUCCAUUUUUUGUUUUUGUCUAGUAUCACUAGGUUUAAAUACAUGCUCAUUUUUUUAUUUUUUCAAAUUUAGAUAACAUUCUCUCAGUAUAUUUCUUAAUAUUUCAUUUAUUCUUUUGGGAUUUUAAUUGAUAUUAUGCUAAAUAUAUGAAUUUAAUUAGGAAAUAUUUUCAACUUUCCUAAGUUAAAUAAUGAGAGGUGGUUCUAUUUUUCCUUUUAAUAAAUAUUUUUUCCUUUCUGCUCUCCCUUUUCUUGCUUUUUCCUCAUUUUUCCUCUUUAAUACUUACUGCUCUGUAGUUCCUUUAAAUCCUUACCAAAUUAAUUUCUAAGCAUUUAUUUGUUUAUGGGAAUGUGAUAUCUCUUUAUAGCUCUUGUUAAUAAACAAUUGUUUGGAAAGGAUUAAAUAUUUUAAUACUACUGAGCUUUUUUAAAAAAUGUCAGACUCUCAAUAUUUACUCAGGUGUGUGAUUUCUCUUAUAAGAAUAAUGCUUUACAUCAUAUCCGGUUGUAUUUUUACUUCCUUGCUGCCCUUGAUAAUUACAUAAUAGGAAAUAGUAAACAGAAGGACCGUAUUAUGAGUUUCAUGGACCCUUGGCACUUUUGCCUUUAUGGGUCCCUUUCGCCAUAAAAAAUAAUAGAAAUAUUUUACGACUGCAUUGUUAUAGGGACAGCAUAUUAAUAUCCAUUAAAAUAUUAUCUUUGACUUAAUAGUUCAUCUUCUUUCCUUCUUAUUUUAAAAGAAAUUAAAAUUUUGUGGGCCUCUAAAAUUAUUUAGAGAUCCUGUGGUGUUGUACCUAGAUGCCUAAGAAUAAGUGCUAUAGAAUUGGGUUGCA